UACGUAGGGUGCAAGCGUUGUCCGGAAUUAUUGGGCGUAAAGAGCUCGUAGGCGGUUUGUCGCGUCGACUGUGAAAACCCGAGGCUUAACCUCGGGCCUGCAGUCGAUACGGGCAGACUAGAGUUCGGUAGGGGAGACUGGAAUUCCUGGUGUAGCGGUGAAAUGCGCAGAUAUCAGGAGGAACACCGAUGGCGAAGGCAAUCCCCUGGGCCUGUACUGACGCUCAUGCACGAAAGCGUGGGGAGCAAACAGG
RNAcentral lists this ribosomal RNA (253 nucleotides) under uncultured bacterium. RNAcentral describes it as "partial 16S ribosomal RNA". It matches the Rfam family "Bacterial small subunit ribosomal RNA", at positions 524 to 776 of the family's 1533-position model. The record is from RNAcentral.